GCGGCUGGUCGGUGCAAUGCUGGGCGGCGCGGGAGGUGGCAGCGUGGUCUGGGCAGUGGAGUUUGAGAAAUUUUUUAGGUGCAGACUUUGAGAUCCAAAAUUGAGACCCACAUUUGCUGAGAUCAUGGCUGCUCUGAAGCUGUUGCAGAAGCCCAUAACCAGUUCUCAAAUUCCCAGACCAAGUACCUCCAUAGGCGCUGGAAGUGAGAAAGCACAGCCGUCACGAGUUGCAGACGAAUAAGCAGGCUAGAGGAGCAAGUCAACAACCUGACUCACUGCUCGUUGGACUGCAAAAAUAUUGCUGAGAAGUUCUAGAUUGCCUGGGACAAGUAUGAGAGUGCUUUCGGUUGAGAUGAUGACCCAACAUACACUCUGAUUUGAAUUGUGAUUCUUUUUCCUUGGAUCACCUUUUUUUUUCUUUUUUUUUUUUUUUUUUUUUUUUCUUUUUGGUAUUCUUCUCAGUACAGCUAUUCGCGAAGUCAUGUAUUUGUUUGUAAAAAUCCAUUGAAAUUCUUGUAGAAAAGUCAAUGUUUGAAAUUGUCGUUGUCCAUAGUGUAGUAUCAAGUAGUUUCAAAAGCACUAUGCUGCCUGGAAUUAGAGAGUGGAGUGGGAAGUUGAAGCUGUAGAUAUAUGCGGGAAGAAUUGUGCCAACUGCCAGAAAUUGGGAGUUACAGAAUCUGAAACACUGAUAGCAGCUACAGAGCCAUCUUUACUUUUUAUCGGACUAGACGGAACCUUGCAGAUUGUGCAGUUAUGGUUGAGAAAGUCUACAAGAGUUAUCUCAAUUUCUUUCAUUUUUAGGUGUUUUCAACCUUUGUUUCUGAAUUCAAUUCAAAUUGCCACAGGUGGAAGGCCUUAGACUUUGCUUCUCUUAAACGUAGCCGUUAUCUUUCUUCAACAUUGAGAAACCAGAAACUUUUGUGUCACAGUGGGCACGGGCUGGACAAGACUUGCCAAGGUUUAUCUAAGGAUGAGAAGGCUCAGAAAUUAGCCCUGCAACACUGGCUUGAAGUUGACGCCUCCUGAAAACAUUUGCAGAUCCCUGGAUGCCAUUAUAAAUCGAACAGUUGACAAAACAUUAGCCAAUCAAGGGACAAACUCUGCUGAAUCAUCGACGCUGUUGAUUUGCAACUAAUUGUCUGUAUUGCACGCAAUAAUACGGGUAGUUUAUGUGAGAGAGCAUGUGAGUUUUACCUAAGUGCUUAGGCUGCUCGAAGUGCAAGAUCCGCCUGUCCAGGUAAGUAUGAGGAUUACCUGUCCUUUUACAUUAACAGGCAGUUACCCGAUUCUAGUCUCUAAGCUUCAACAUUAGUAGCUAGCGAAUGGAGGGAUUGUUGUCUUAGUCCGACAAGCCUAAUUGCCUAGCAUUUAACUUUAUAGAAGAAGGCUAGCUAGGCAAUGGAAAUCACAAUGGCCAUUUUAUUUUCUGUUGUAAUACAAACAUGAUAAGAUUCCCCAAUCACAAAAGGAGGGACCAUAUUGGGUUGUCAUAAUUGAACAUGAUUAAGACCCUUAGUGGAGAGAGAGAGUGUGUUUGUUUCUUUCACAUGUAUAAUUUUAGGUUUGAAAGGUUGUCUUUGAAAUGGUUAAACAAUUCAUAGAAAACUUUCAUUUGGGACCCGAAAUGUAUUCAGGAAUCAUGUUUAAGCAGGAAGGCCGUCAGAUUUCUUGUGAAGGAAAAUAAUUAGGAAAUGAUACCAAUCACAUCUAAAAAAACGUGUGGAGUAUUAUAGAAUUAUAGCUAGUUUAUCCUUUCUUUUUCUUCUUCUGUUGAGGGGAUGCUCUUUGAAAAUAAUGAAAGUAAAUAUUUAAAAUAGAUAACCAUACGUAAGCGUUUUGAAAAGGUUAAUAAUUAAAAUAGAAAAAUGUGAUUCUUUAGUUAAAAUUUGUUGAGCGGCUUACAUU
Molecule: non-coding RNA, 1905 nt
Organism: Corylus avellana
Lineage: Eukaryota; Viridiplantae; Streptophyta; Magnoliopsida; Fagales; Betulaceae
Source: RefSeq, a predicted model, not a curated record